RNAcentral lists this ribosomal RNA (496 nucleotides) under uncultured bacterium. Its description in RNAcentral is "partial 16S ribosomal RNA". It matches the Rfam family "Bacterial small subunit ribosomal RNA", at positions 29 to 507 of the family's 1533-position model. The record is from RNAcentral.
AUGCACGCUGGCGGCGUGCCUCAUACAUGCCAGUCGAGCGAACGGACGAGAAGCUUGCUUCUCUGAUGUUAGCGGCGGACGGGUGAGUAACACGUGUAUAACCUACCUAUAAGACUGGGAUAACUUCGGGAAACCGUAGCUAAUACCGGAUAAUAUUUUGAACCGCAUGGUUCAAAAGUGAAAGACGGUCUUGCUGUCACUUAUAGAUGGAUCCGCGCUGCAUUAGCUAGUUGGUAAGGUAACGGCUUACCAAGGCAACGAUGCAUAGCCGACCUGAGAGGGUGAUCGGCCACACUGGAACUGAGACACGGUCCAGACUCCUACGGGAGGCAGCAGUAGGGAAUCUUCCGCAAUGGGCGAAAGCCUGACGGAGCAACGCCGCGUGAGUGAUGAAGGUCUUCGGAUCGUAAAACUCUGUUAUUAGGGAAGAACAUAUGUGUAAGUAACUGUGCACAUCUUGACGGUACCUAAUCAGAAAGCCACGGCUAACUACGUG